Small nuclear RNA from Heterocephalus glaber (naked mole-rat), 168 nucleotides. Its record names the gene U2. It matches the Rfam family "U2 spliceosomal RNA". Rfam says of the family: U2 is a small nuclear RNA (snRNA) component of the spliceosome (involved in pre-mRNA splicing). Complementary binding between U2 snRNA (in an area lying towards the 5' end but 3' to hairpin I) and the branchpoint sequence (BPS) of the intron results the bulging out of an unpaired adenosine, on the BPS, which initiates a nucleophilic attack at the intronic 5' splice site, thus starting the first of two transesterification reactions that mediate splicing. Lineage: Eukaryota; Metazoa; Chordata; Mammalia; Rodentia; Bathyergidae. The record is from Ensembl.
AUCGCUUCUCGGCCUUUUGGCUAAGAUCAAGUGUAAAAGAUGAGGCAAAGAUUAAUAGCCCUGAAAAUUCUGUAUCCUGUCAUUGGUUCAAAGAUAAUAUCAGUUAAAAUUACCUGUCUGAUUUUUCUUCUUUUGUCAUUGAAUUAAAGAAAAUUGAGUAAUGUUUCU